Non-coding RNA from Coffea arabica (coffee), 3286 nucleotides. The record is from RefSeq and is a predicted model, not a curated record. Lineage: Eukaryota; Viridiplantae; Streptophyta; Magnoliopsida; Gentianales; Rubiaceae.
CCAGACUCUCUCAGUAGGUUUUCCACUCCACGGCUCCAAGACCUCACUAAUAAACUUCAGCCGCCAUUUCUGACGAUCAGAGUCAGUACCAAAAAGCCAAAGGAUACCACUUUAGAUCUAGAAAGAAAUUAAAGGAUAGGAUAGGAUGGAAAUGGAGGAAUAGCUAGGGAAAGCUUUUGGAAAUCUGUGGGUUGGCAACAGCUGCUGCUGUCUGUUAAACUUCGGAGACAAUACUGGUAGCACAGAUUGGCUGUGUUACCAAGCCCACCGAGUCCAAUGGCCUUCCUGAGGUUUCUCCGAUUCCCUUCAUACCCUUUACAUAUGUGAACUGGUCGAAAGAUGGGACGAAGAGGGAAAGGCAGAUGGGUUUUUGCAAGAAAUUGUUGGUGUGGGUGUGUGGGAGAGGAUAUGCAUGAAAAAAGUAAAAAACCCUUUGCUUAGAAAGAAAAAAAGAAAGUCAAAAAAUUUUGAACGGUUGAAGAUUAUAUCCUUUCCCAAUCCACCCAUACCGAUGAUUUCUUGGGAUCCCUGCCUUUCCCAACCUUUGUUCUUUUAGAUCUCAGACUGCUCUGCAGAUAUGGUAAAAUCUUUCGGGUAUCUUAACAUCUGAUUAUUUAUAUUGAGAUUUAUGUUUGUGCUAGGUUUUGAUUUUCUGCUGAUUAUUUACAAAAAAAAAAAAAAAAUUUUUGAUUUUCUGCUGAUUUUCGGGUCAGGUAAACCAUUGGCUCUGAGUUUUGUCAUCUUAUCAUUUGCAGAUUAUACGCUAGUACGUUUUGCUUGGGGAACCGGUAAAUCAAAUGAUGCUUGAUUAGCUGUCAGAUUUUUUAUGUUAAAUAUUGAGUUUGUGAAUGAUUUUGAGUUAGGUAUAAUGUUUGGUUAAUUGAGUGAAAAAUUCGACCUCAAAGUUUUCCAAUUUACUUCAAUGGUGUUUUGUUGUCUCGCAAAACGCCUUCGACCUUCGAGUUUGGAUAGGCAGAAGGGAGAAAAUACUCUGUACCAAAUGUGAAGAUUAGCGGAGAGGAGAAAGAAUUUAUCAAAAAUCAUGUUGACAGAAAUUGUUUUCGAUUCUCACUCACCUAAGAUCAAUAGUAAGCUCCGGUUCUGAGAACUGAGUCCAGUCCAAUUGGCAUGAUAUCAUCAUGAAGGCCAAAAUUAUUUUGUUCUCCAGUUUCUCUUUGGUUCUUUUCUUUUUUUAGCUUGCCCCUUUUAGGGAAGCAAAGUGAUAUAUGUUGGGAGGUUUUCUGAGGUUGAAAAUACAAAUUAUUUAAGAUAAUAAUAAUACGAGAGUUCUAAAUCAAGAUAAGGAAAAGAGUUUCCUCUGAGCAUCGAUCUGACUUGCGGUUCUUACUCAGAAGCUAAAGCGAAGAUAUUCUUUUAUCUUUGCAAUUUGCAAUUGAUGCUCAAUCAGAGAAUCCAAUGCGGAGUGAGUAUUGGGAUUGGCUGGCUAAUGAAACCAGCGAAUAAAAACGCUGAAACAAAGCAAAACAAGUUCCGUGCACGCAAUUGCAGCAAGUAUGACUGCAAAUUGAUGAGACCGUGAUCUUAAUCCUUUUCACAUGUAUUUGACUUCACUCUCUUACAAAAAUCAGGGGUCUGUUAUUGGAUGGCCAUCUUGAAAGCCAACAGAAAAUCACUACAUUUUUUGGGGAAAGGCAAGCUGUAUUAAUAAGAGGGAAAAAAAAAUUACGAAGUAGAUGUUUGUUUCUAAUAAUAAUGUCUAAAACAACUGGAGGAUAGGAGAGGUAAGAAUUUCGUCAGUAGUAUAAAACAGGCGAAAAAGUAUAUAUAAUGUGGUGUUGGAUUUAAAAAGCUUGCCUCUGUCGAGAAGAGAGCUAUAUAUUAUCCAUUAAAAAAAAAAGGUAGCCAUAGUCAAGUUGAAUGUAUCUCCCAAGGUUCAAGAACAUCUCUGUACUUGACUUUGAACAACAGCAAAAGUGGAGUAGUAUGCUAACCUCCACUUGACAGCAUUCUUGAUUUGCUCAAAACCAAUCUGGUGGGCUUUUGAUUGUUAAAAGUAUUAAAAAUGUUAAGAGACCAAACUCUAAAAGUAAUAAAUUCAGUAAUUCACAGCCAAAAAAGAGUAUGGCUGUGACCCUGUUGAGACGUUAUGUUAUACCGCAGCUUCUUUGGAAAAUCAUUUGCAUCCCUUUUGACACUGAUGAGUUUGAAUGGAACUGUAUAAUUUCUUCACUGUUGUUGUUGAAUUGUAAGGAGAGGCCUUAUUUAUUUAGGAGCGUUCUUUUCAUCCAACUAGAAACAUCUAACAUGAGCAGCUCAAGAUUGUUGAGAUCCAAAACCAUACCCGUGAUCCAUACGAUGUCAAUGCGAUUAUUAUAUAUUUCUUAAUUUUCAUUUUUCUAAAAAUUUCUUCUCGGUGGGCGGCUAUUUUAGACUCCUUUGUUCUUUUAUUUGGUACCAGACUUCGUAGUAGGUUUUGGACCACCCUACUCCAGGACCGCACCAAACGAACCUCAGCCACCAUUUCUUUCUUACGAUCAGAAUCAGUACUAAAAAGCCAAGUAUGCCACCGUAGAUCUAGAAAGAACUGGAUAGGAUGGAAAUGGAGGAAAAGCUUUUGGGGGUCGGUGGAUUGGUAACUGCUACAGCUAUAUAUUAAACCUUGGAGGCAAUACUCAUAGCACAGAUUGGCUGUUACCAAAACCCCCCCGAGCCCAAUGGUCUCUUCCUGAGGUUUCUCCAGUUCCCUUCAUGCCCUUCACAAAUGUUCAAUGGUCGAAAGAUUGGACGAAGAGGGAAAGGCAGAUGGAUCUCUGCAAGAAAUCGCUGGCGUGGGGGCCUUGGAAAGGAUACGCUUGAAAAAAUCGUUUUCUUGAAAAGGUUGGAGAUGAUAUCCUUUCCCAGGCCUCCCAUGCCGGUGAUUUCUUGGGGUCCCUCCCUUUCCCAAACUUGUUCUUUUACAUCUCUGGUUGCUCUGCAUGUAUUCUGCAAUGAUUACAUGUUACUUGAGUUCUUCUUCAGGGACCAGUAAAUCAAAGGAUAUAUGCUUGAUUGGCUGUUAGAUGAUUUCAGUUCAUUCAUUGAGUUGGUGAAUAACUGGCUUCAAAGCUUCGAAAUUGUGUUUUUCAUUUUAGUUGUGUUAUUCGUCUGGCAAAAAAGUUAUUAGAGCUUUGAAUUUUCCCAAGGCAAAGAGUGAUAUGUAUUCCUCUAGUACCAGCUACUAAACGUGAGAUUUAUAGUUGAUGUAAAAGAAGAAAUCAUGUAAUAGAGUAAACAAAAAUUUCUUCCUAUUUGUAAUGAAAUCAACCAAAAACACUCUUCCACUGCA